Molecule: long non-coding RNA, 546 nt
Filed under: Olea europaea (common olive)
Lineage: Eukaryota; Viridiplantae; Streptophyta; Magnoliopsida; Lamiales; Oleaceae
Description: long non-coding RNA (OEUR_LNC011664)
Source: RNAcentral
AGCAAAGUAAUAUUCAUAACACCCACCUUAGUACAAAGUAUGCUAACAGAAUGAAGGAGAUGACUGGGUUGGAACUCCCAAUUACCACGAAAGAAUAAAAAAGCUUUCUUUCCAAAAAGGCACUUGGGUAGGAGGGAUCACUAAUGUAGGACAUGCCAUAGAGAAAUGAGGAGAAAAAGAUUAAACCCCUUUUGGAGGUCACGGUAUUCCCUAAUGUCAUGGGAUGAUACAUCGAACGGAAGAUAUCUAGUGAGACUUUUCCUGGUAAGCCUGUAAAACCCCACGCCUGAAAGUACCCAAACAAUUAGGCUCAAUGGGAGUGAGCUUAGAAUGGGCCGUAUUUAAUGAGGAAAGAGUUUUUAUAAACAAGGGAUGAAAGGUUACUCUGAGUCCCAUAUUCGACGAAUGCCUAUGAAUAGCUAUGUAGCCUAGGCACGGACAAUUCACCGUAUAAAAUAGCCCAUAGCAUAAAAGCUCUAUAUCACUUGGAGCGUUGAAAUGAAUCCAAAUGUUAGAAAGGUCUUGUUCGGAGAGAUUGCUAAAGAU